UACAGGGGGGGCAAGCGUUGUUCGGAAUUACUGGGCGUAAAGGGCUCGUAGGUGGCCAACUAAGUCAGACGUGAAAUCCCUCAGCUUAACUGGGGAACUGCGUCUGAUACUGGAUGGCUUGAGUUUGGGAGAGGGAUGCGGAAUUCCAGGUGUAGCGGUGAAAUGCGUAGAUAUCAGGAGGAACACCGACGGCGAAGGCAGCUUACUGGGCCGAUACUGACGCUGAGGAGCGAAAGCGUGGGGAGCGAACAGG
RNAcentral lists this ribosomal RNA (253 nucleotides) under uncultured bacterium. RNAcentral's name for it is "partial 16S ribosomal RNA". It matches the Rfam family "Bacterial small subunit ribosomal RNA", at positions 524 to 776 of the family's 1533-position model. The record is from RNAcentral.